Molecule: ribosomal RNA, 274 nt
Filed under: uncultured bacterium
Lineage: Bacteria
Description: partial 16S ribosomal RNA
Rfam family: Bacterial small subunit ribosomal RNA
Source: RNAcentral
AUACGUAGGUCCCGAGCGUUGCGCGGAGUCACUGGGCGUAAAGCGUCCGCAGCCGGCCCCGUAAGCGGGAUGACAAAGCCCGCCGCUCAACGGCGGAACGGCAUCCCGAACUGCGGGGCUUGAGGCGCGCCCGGGCAGGUGGAAUUCCCGGGGUAGCGGUGAAAUGCGUAGAUCUCGGGAGGAACACCGAAGGGGAAGCCAGCCUGCUGGGGCCGUCCUGACGGUCAGGGACGAAAGCCGGGGGAGCAAACAGGAUUAGAUACCCUAGUAGUCC